This 492-nucleotide ribosomal RNA is filed under the name uncultured bacterium. RNAcentral describes it as "partial 16S ribosomal RNA". It matches the Rfam family "Bacterial small subunit ribosomal RNA", at positions 29 to 507 of the family's 1533-position model. The record is from RNAcentral.
AGUGAACGCUGGCGGUAGGCCUAACACAUGCAAGUCGAACGGCAGCACAGUAAGAGCUUGCUCUUACGGGUGGCGAGUGGCGGACGGGUGAGGAAUACAUCGGAAUCUACUUUUUCGUGGGGGAUAACGUAGGGAAACUUACGCUAAUACCGCAUACGACCUACGGGUGAAAGCAGGGGAUCUUCGGACCUUGCGCGAUUGAAUGAGCCGAUGUCGGAUUAGCUAGUUGGCGGGGUAAAGGCCCACCAAGGCGACGAUCCGUAGCUGGUCUGAGAGGAUGAUCGGCCACACUGGAACUGGAACACGGUCCAGGCUCCUACGGGAGGCAGCAGUGGGGAAUGUUGGGCAAUGGGCGCGAGCCUGAUCCAGCCAUACCGCGUGGGUGAAAGAGGCCUUCGGGUUGUAAAGCCCUUUUGUUGGGAGAGAAAAGCAGCAGGUUGAUACCCCGCUGUUCUGACGGUACCCAGAGAAUAAGCACCGGCUAACUUCGUG